Molecule: non-coding RNA, 76 nt
Organism: Podarcis lilfordi (Lilford's wall lizard)
Lineage: Eukaryota; Metazoa; Chordata; Lepidosauria; Squamata; Lacertidae
Source: the annotation of a GenBank genome assembly
UGAGCAAUAGCUCAGUCAGUAGAGCACCAGAUUCUCAAUCUCAGGGUCAUGGGUUUGAGCCCCACAUAGAGCAAAA